UACGGAGGGAGCUAGCGUUGUUCGGAUAUACUGGGCGUAAAGCGCACGUAGGCGGCGCAGCAAGUCAGGGGUGAAAUCCCGGAGCUCAACUCCGGAACUGCCUUUGAAACUGUAGUGCUAGAAUCCUGGAGAGGCGAGUGGAAUUCCGAGUGUAGAGGUGAAAUUCGUAGAUAUUCGGAAGAACACCAGUGGCGAAGGCGACUCGCUGGACAGGUAUUGACGCUGAGGUGCGAAAGCGUGGGGAGCAAACAGG
This 253-nucleotide ribosomal RNA is filed under the name uncultured bacterium. RNAcentral describes it as "partial 16S ribosomal RNA". It matches the Rfam family "Bacterial small subunit ribosomal RNA", at positions 524 to 776 of the family's 1533-position model. The record is from RNAcentral.